AACGAACGCUGGCGGCGUGCCUAACACAUGCAAGUCGAGCGCGAAUGGAGCAAUCCUAGUAGCGCGGCGCACGGGUGCGUAACACGUGGGUAAUCUGCCUGGGAGAUGAGGAUAACCAGUCGAAAGAUUGGCUAAUACUCGGUAAGCCCACGGGAACUUCGGUUCCUGAGGGAAAAGGUGGCCUCUGUAUACAAGCUAUCACUUCCAGAUGAGCCCGCGGCCCAUCAGCUAGUUGGCGGGGUAAUGGCUUACCAAGGCAACGACGGGUAGCUGGUCUGAGAGGACGAUCAGCCACACUGGAACUGAGACACGGUCCAGACUCCUACGGGAGGCAGCAGUGGGGAAUUUUGCGCAAUGGGCGAAAGCCUGACGCAGCAACGCCGCGUGUGUGAUGAAGGUCUUUGGAUUGUAAAGCACUUUUCGACCGGGACGAAAACCCUGAGGCUAACAUCCUCAGGCUUGACGGUACCGGGAGAAGAAGCACCGGCUAACU
This 493-nucleotide ribosomal RNA is filed under the name uncultured bacterium. Its description in RNAcentral is "bacterial SSU rRNA". It matches the Rfam family "Bacterial small subunit ribosomal RNA", at positions 29 to 502 of the family's 1533-position model. The record is from RNAcentral.